CUCUGGAGCAAGACCCUCUCUCGGGGAGGAGCAUGACCAGGACCGGAGCCUUGCGAGGGAUCUCGGGCAACAGCAAAGCCAAGCCCGAGCCCCCCAGGCCUGCGGAUAGCCUGUCUUCUUCAUGCACAGCUGUGACUCACGCUGGGCAUGCACGCGCAAGAGCUCGGCUUUCCCUGCCUGCCUGCAUUGCCGCGGACACAGAGACUAUUUGUCUCUGCCUGGACCCCUUCCCAUUACUUCUAGCUGGGUGAAAUUAAAUGGAAAAGAAAUUCAAUUAAGACGGUCUUGUCUCACACAGAGGGAUCCUUCAAAGCCACUUUCCGCAGCUGUUAGCAGGUCUGACGGGAUUAGCGGCCCCUCUCGAGCUGUUAGCUCGGGAAGCCCACGGCAGCGGCUGGCUUUGGGGGGCUCCCCAGGGGCGCUGCGGCCGCUCCUCUGGGUCCCCCACCAGGCUGAUGGAGGAGGGACUGGAAGAGAGAGGCUUUGCAUCGCCCAGAGCACGGGGAGAGGCCCGUCCCGGAAGGCUGGGCGCACAGCGGGGACACUAGCGCUUGACCCCGUCCGCAGGAUCCGACAGGCUGGAUUUCCAGCCGGUUCUGCCACUGUGCCAGACCGUGGUGGCUCUGACCCGGAUGAAAGCGAUUCGGCGAGCGAGCUCUUCAUGGGCAGCGGUGUGCCGGGCUUUGCAGCGACCUGGGCAGCGGGAGAUAGUGGUACUUACUGCAGCUGGAGAGCGGUGGGGCAGAGCUGCUACCCCAGGCCAGGGAAACGCCGGGACGAGAGGGGCAGAAGCAAACGCAGCAGGGAGAAAAGGAGGAGCUAUACGUUUGCAGACACGCUAUUUACUCGAGACAGAGAGGANNNNNNNNNNNNNNNNNNNNNNNNNNNNNNNNNNNNNNNNNNNNCGGGUUGUCGCUGCCGCCGUGUCACAGGUAACAUCCGCGCACCUGGAGCGGACCUCAGCUCCCAGGCCCAGUACUCCCAGCGCCGGGGCCGGUUUCCGCAGGGACGUACAGGGGAUGCUGAGGGGCCGGUUCGCCCACGCGUGAAGUUUCUGCUCCCGCCCCAGUACUUUGCCGGCUCUUUGCAUCCCCCCCGUGUACUUCCUACAGCCUCGCUCAGCCUAAGGCACGGGAAAUUCAGUUGCCCACAAGACGGCGGGCCCGGGCAGGCAAACUUUCCCUCCGCCUCCGUUCAUCCAGAGACUCUGCCAGGACAAGACAGAGUGAGAGGAGGAGACCUUGCAGUACCCAACGCACUGCAGGAGACCGCGCUGCAGGCAAUGGGGCCAGCACGGCGCAUCCCAGCUCUGCAGCUCCGGGGGAGCGGAGGAGUGCGGGCAGAGGAAAAAAGAAGGAAAAAAGAAAGAAGGAAAAAAGAAAGAAGGAAAAAAGAAAGAAGGAAAAAAGAAAGAAGGAAAAAAGAAAGAAGGAAAAAAGAAAGAAGGAAAAAAGAAAGAAGGAAAAAAGAAGGAAAAAAGGAGGAAAAGUCUCCCUGCGAGACUGCGUCCUCCCUCCGAAGGGGACCCUGAGACGGCAGCGGGUGCCGUUCUCCCUGCAGGAAGGCGUCGGAAGUUCACCGGGGUCAUUCGUGCCGUCCCCAGUUUCUCCGGGCACGUCUAGCGCCUACGUCUGGCACGCGCGGAGGUACGGCACCUCUGCAGCCCCGGGCCCUCGGCGGCACAGCAGGAGGGGCAGGAAGAGGUCAGAGGCGGAGAAGAAAGGCAAAAACCAGCGUUUGCAAACGUUUGGGCUGCAGCGAGCAUAAAAGAACAUCCAGCAUCAACCGCGAGCGCCGCCAGAACGCGCCGGCUCCAUCCUUUGCCAACAGCCGGAAGCAAAACGCUGUCGCGCUCCGCGCGGCAGGGCAGACCCCCAGCGGCUGCCCCCGCUCCCUCUCCCCCAGAGAUCAUUAAGGGGAAACGUUUAGAGAAAUCAAACGCUUUUUUUUUUUUCCCUCCCCCCUCUGCUUCUAAGGCUAAUAGGGAAAACCAAGCUGAUUUGCGGGAGAACAACAUUUAGCAAUCUCUAAUUCAUCAAAGUCCCCGUCUGUUCUCAUUGUCAUGCUGACUCUGUCAAAAAUCAGCCUUCCUCCAAACGCCGCCGCUUUUAACGG
Long non-coding RNA from Struthio camelus australis, 2115 nucleotides. The record is from Ensembl. NCBI's taxonomy places the organism in Eukaryota, Metazoa, Chordata, Aves, Struthioniformes, Struthionidae.